GAUGAACGCUGACAGAAUGCUUAACACAUGCAAGUCUUUGGCGAAGCUGUGCUUGCACAGCCUAGCCAAGGCGGACGGGUGAGUAACGCGUAAGGAACUUGCCCUGCAGUCAGGGAUAACAGACGGAAACGACUGAUAAGACCUGGUAAAGUCAGGCGGACUCAUGUCCAGCCUGAUGAAAAGAGAUGCUGCAGGAGAGCCUUGCGUCCUAUUAGCUUGUUGGUGGUGUAACGGCCCACCAAGGCGAUGAUAGGUAGCCGGCCUGAGAGGGUGGACGGCCACAAGGGGACUGAGAUACGGCCCUUACUCAUACGGGAGGCAGCAGUGGGGAAUAUUGGACAAUGGGGGCAAACCUGAUCCAGCAAUUCUGUGUGAAAGAUGAAGGUUUUCGGAUUGUAAAGUGCUUUCAGCAGGGAAGAAAAAAAUGACGGUACCUGAAGAAGAAGCGACGGCUAAAUACGUG
Molecule: ribosomal RNA, 463 nt
Filed under: uncultured bacterium
Lineage: Bacteria
Description: partial 16S ribosomal RNA
Rfam family: Bacterial small subunit ribosomal RNA
Source: RNAcentral